This 70-nucleotide transfer RNA is filed under the name Pristionchus pacificus. It matches the Rfam family "tRNA". Rfam says of the family: Transfer RNA (tRNA) molecules are approximately 80 nucleotides in length. Their secondary structure includes four short double-helical elements and three loops (D, anti-codon, and T loops). Further hydrogen bonds mediate the characteristic L-shaped molecular structure. tRNAs have two regions of fundamental functional importance: the anti-codon, which is responsible for specific mRNA codon recognition, and the 3' end, to which the tRNAs corresponding amino acid is attached (by aminoacyl-tRNA synthetases). tRNAs cope with the degeneracy of the genetic code in two manners: having more than one tRNA (with a specific anti-codon) for a particular amino acid; and 'wobble' base-pairing, i.e. permitting non-standard base-pairing at the 3rd anti-codon position. Lineage: Eukaryota; Metazoa; Nematoda; Chromadorea; Rhabditida; Neodiplogasteridae. The record is from Rfam by way of RNAcentral.
GACCAUGUAGUAGUGGUUAGUACUCCACGUUGUGGCAGUGGCGACGGUGGUUCGAUUCCACCCAUGGGCA